AGAAUCAACGCUGGCGGCGUGCCUAACACAUGCAAGUCGAACGAGAAAGUGGAGCAAUCCAUGAGUAAAGUGGCGCACGGGUGAGUAACACGUGACUAACCUACCUUUUAGUGGGGGAUAACCUAGGGAAACCUGGGCUAAUACCGCAUAAUACCUACGGGUCAAAGCAGCAAUGCGCUGAAAGAGGGGGUCGCGGUCGAUUAGUUAGUUGGCAGGGUAAAUGGCCUACCAAGACUGUGAUCGAUAUCCGGCCUGAGAGGGCGCACGGACACACUGGAACUGAAACACGGUCCAGACUCCUACGGGAGGCAGCAGUGGGGAAUUUUGCGCAAUGGGGGAAACCCUGACGCAGCAACGCCGCGUGGAGGAUGAAGUCCCUUGGGACGUAAACUCCUUUCGAUCGGGACGAUAAUGACGGUACCGAAGAAGAAGCCCCGGCUAACUUCGCGCCAGCAGCCGC
RNAcentral lists this ribosomal RNA (460 nucleotides) under uncultured bacterium. RNAcentral's name for it is "SSU rRNA". It matches the Rfam family "Bacterial small subunit ribosomal RNA", at positions 26 to 518 of the family's 1533-position model. The record is from RNAcentral.